This 253-nucleotide ribosomal RNA is filed under the name uncultured bacterium. RNAcentral describes it as "partial 16S ribosomal RNA". It matches the Rfam family "Bacterial small subunit ribosomal RNA", at positions 524 to 776 of the family's 1533-position model. The record is from RNAcentral.
UACGGAGGGGGCUAGCGUUGUUCGGAAUUACUGGGCGUAAAGCGCACGUAGGCGGCUUUGUAAGUUAGAGGUGAAAGCCCAGGGCUCAACCCUGGAAUUGCCUUCAAGACUGCAUCGCUUGAACAUCGGAGAGGUAAGUGGAAUUCCGAGUGUAGAGGUGAAAUUCGUAGAUAUUCGGAAGAACACCAGUGGCGAAGGCGACUUACUGGACGAUUGUUGACGCUGAGGUGCGAAAGCGUGGGGAGCAAACAGG